Molecule: long non-coding RNA, 331 nt
Organism: Ochotona curzoniae (black-lipped pika)
Lineage: Eukaryota; Metazoa; Chordata; Mammalia; Lagomorpha; Ochotonidae
Exons: 4
Source: RefSeq, a predicted model, not a curated record
GGAAUACGGCAGCCCGCGCGCGCUGCCUUCCCGCCAGUCGUCCCCCUCAGAAGCUCUCCGUGCCGGGGGCGCCUGGGUGAGGAGACUGAAAGAUAAAGAACUUGAAAAAAAUUGUCCAAGAUCAAGCACUUAAUAAAGUGGCAAAGUCAAAAGUCAAACCCAGAUAUUUUGGCUCCAGCCCUGUACAGAUGCCAGAUCUGCAUCGUGACCUGGAGACUUUCUGUGACUACGUCCUGCUCUUUUCUCCUGUGGUUCUUUAACAGCUUCCUGCUCAUCUGGGAAGGCAGCAGAAGAUGGACCAAAUAUUGGGGACCCUGAGACCCACCACAGG